CAAAGUGCUGGGAUUACAGGCUUGAGCCCCCGUGCCUGGCCUUCACCUCUACCUAUUAUAAUAUUUUCAUGUUAUUCCAUUUUGUCAUGUUUGUGGGUCAUUUGAUGAGGGUUCACAAUAUGAAAACUGGGCAUUUUGGCCAAGAUGCAUGUAAAUGAAUACAACUCCAUGUGCCCUGAUAACUGAUUUCUAGAUCCUGAGAUGCAAGUGGCUUCCAGAGUGUCUGUAUUUUAUGAAAGUUCAUAUACAGUAAACCAUGCUAAUUGUUACUGAUACAGCUUCCUUGAAUAUAUAAAGCGAUGAUUAAUGGGAUGUUUUGUUUCUGCAGAAAACCACUGAAUUGCUUCUCCAAAGCCAAGUGACCUGUAUGAUUUGUCCUUAUUAUAUUUUGUGAACCAGUGGACUAAAACCUUUAUAAUGGGUCAUUUUUUUAGUAUUGUCAAUAUUGCUCAAUUAACAAACAUGACUCAUAUACACAGGUGAGAUGUAGUUCUCCCUUUGACAUUUGCUCUACAUCUGUCCCUUAGAUGAUGAUAUGGAAGAAAAGCACUCUUUGGCCUGUUGUGACUGGGACAGUUGACAGCACCCAGGUGUCCUUUAAUGAAAAUGCUCUUGACACCAAUGCAUCCUAGCAUCACAGCUUCAGGAAGCCUUCUCAAGUGUGCAUGGGGAGUACUAUGUCUUUCAUCAAUAAUGAAAUCUUCUGAUUUGUAAGACAUGCUGCCAAGAGAUGUGCCAUUCUAUUAUAAAAGAUCAGUAGCUUCCUUUACCGACGUGUAUAUUCUAUCUAGAACAUUGAGCUAUGGAAGACUCCCACCUAAGGGAAUUAGUUUUACACCUUCAGAUAAAGACUGCUGAGAAGAGCACCCUCUGGUGUUGUCACAGAGGCAAGUGCUACCGCACAGGCAUGCUGCAGUGAAUUUAACUGAUCCUCUGUCCCUGCAACCGUUGUUUAAGGAUGCUAUUCUGAAAAGACUGUGGAGGAAGAAAACCCUUUACCCUGUUGUUCAGGGAGAAACUGACACCACUCAACUGCCUGGCACUGAAAAUGUGGCAUCCAGUCCACUUUACCAUCAGUGUUUAAGGAAACCAUCUCUGAUAAGGAUGACUGAGGAAGAGUACUCUUUGGCUUGUUGACACCAGCACAGCUGACACACCCAGAUAUCUGUUUGGUCUCCUGUGAACUUUCAACCAGGAUUUAAGGAUGCCACUCUGGUUAAAAGCUGAAACAACUUCAAGGAAACUUCAGGGAAAAGAGAAGGCCUGGAAUCUGAUCCUCCACUUCAGAGAACAGGGGUCAGCUUACUGUAUGAUUAAGUAACACAAGGCACAGUAGCCAUCUUUUUCAUUAUGUUGCAACACUGAUCACGUGCCUCGAUAAAAUGGCUGAUUCAACAAGAUGAUGGCAACACGAAGGGGAGACUUUGGAUUGUCUAUUUAAAAUCUAGGUAAUAAGUAAGUAAUUAAUAAAAACUCUAUCUUAAGUGCACUUUCACAUGCUUUUUGUUUAUAAUAAACAAACAACAAACU
Molecule: long non-coding RNA, 1530 nt
Filed under: Homo sapiens (human)
Lineage: Eukaryota; Metazoa; Chordata; Mammalia; Primates; Hominidae
Description: small nucleolar RNA host gene 14
Source: RNAcentral